Molecule: ribosomal RNA, 801 nt
Filed under: uncultured bacterium
Lineage: Bacteria
Description: bacterial SSU rRNA
Rfam family: Bacterial small subunit ribosomal RNA
Source: RNAcentral
GCUGCUUCGCUGACGAGUGGCGGACGGGUGAGUAAUGUCUGGGAAACUGCCUGAUGGAGGGGGAUAACUACUGGAAACGGUAGCUAAUACCGCAUAACGUCGCAAGACCAAAGAGGGGGACCCUCGGGCCUCUUGCCAUCGGAUGUGCCCAGAUGGGAUUAGCUUGUUGGUGGGGUAACGGCUCACCAAGGCGACGAUCCCUAGCUGGUCUGAGAGGAUGACCAGCCACACUGGAACUGAGACACGGUCCAGACUCCUACGGGAGGCAGCAGUGGGGAAUAUUGCACAAUGGGCGCAAGCCUGAUGCAGCCAUGCCGCGUGUAUGAAGAAGGCCUUCGGGUUGUAAAACGUUUCAGCGGGGAGGAAGGGAGUAAAGUUAAUACCUUUGCUCAUUGACGUUACCCGCCCAAGAAGCACCGGCUAACUCCGUGCCGGGGCCGCGGUAAUACGGAGGGUGCAAGCGUUAAUCGGAAUUACUGGGCGUAAAGCGCACGCAAGCGGUUUGUUAAGUCAGAUGUGAAAUCCCCGGGCUCAACCUGGGAACUGCAUCUGAUACUGGCAAGCUUGAGUCUCGUAGAGGGGGGUAGAAUUCCAGGUGUAUCGGUGAAUGCGUAUAGAUCUGGAGGAAUACCGGUGGCUAAUGCGGCCCCCUGGACGAAGACUGACGCUCAAGUGCGAAAGCAUGGCCAGCAAACAGGAUCACAUACCCUGGUAGUCCACGCCGUAUACGAUGUCAACUUGGAGGUUGUGCCCUUGAUGCGUGACUUCCGGAGCUAACGCGUUAAGUCGACCGCCUGAGUA